AUUAGCUAGUUGGAGAGGUAACGGCUCCCCAAGGCAACGAUCAUUAGGGGUUCUGAGAGGAAGGUCCCCCACACUGGUACUGAGACACGGACCAGACUCCUACGGGAGGCAGCAGUGAGGAAUAUUGGUCAAUGGGCGCGAGCCUGAACCAGCCAAGUCGCGUGCAGGAAGAAUGUCCUAUGGAUUGUAAACUGCUUUUGCAGGGGAAUAAAGUUCGGCACGUGUGCCGUUUUGUAUGUACUCUGCGAAUAAGGAUCGGCUAACUCCGUGCCAGCAGCCGCGGUAAUACGGAGGAUCCGAGCGUUAUCCGGAUUUAUUGGGUUUAAAGGGUGCGUAGGCGGGAUAAUAAGUCAGUGGUGAAAGUUUGCAGCUUAACUGUAAAAUUGCCGUUGAAACUGUUAUUCUUGAGAGUAGAUAAGGUAGGCGGAAUGUGUUGUGUAGCGGUGAAAUGCAUAGAUAUAACACAGAACCCCGAUUGCGAAGGCAGCUUACCGGGCUACAUCUGACGCUGAGGCACGAAAGCGUGGGGAUCAAACAGGAUUAGAUACCCUGGUAGUCCACGCAGUAAAC
RNAcentral lists this ribosomal RNA (570 nucleotides) under uncultured bacterium. Its description in RNAcentral is "bacterial SSU rRNA". It matches the Rfam family "Bacterial small subunit ribosomal RNA", at positions 240 to 807 of the family's 1533-position model. The record is from RNAcentral.